UUUAUUGAGAGUUUGAUCCUGGCUCAGGACGAACGCUGGCGGCGUGCUUAACACAUGCAAGUCGAACGGGGUGCCUAUGAAAGAGAUUUCGGUCAAUGGAUUAGGUUACUUAGUGGCGGACGGGUGAGUAACGCGUGAGGAACCUGCCUUUCAGAGGGGGACAACAGCUGGAAACGGCUGCUAAUACCGCAUGACACAUAUUUAUCGCAUGUUAGAUAUGUCAAAGAUUUAUCGCUGAGAGAUGGCCUCGCGUCUGCUUAGCUAGUUGGUAGUGUAUCGGCCUACCAAGGCGACGAUCAGUAGCCGGACUGAGAGG
RNAcentral lists this ribosomal RNA (316 nucleotides) under Oscillospiraceae bacterium. RNAcentral describes it as "bacterial SSU rRNA". It matches the Rfam family "Bacterial small subunit ribosomal RNA", at positions 1 to 299 of the family's 1533-position model. Lineage: Bacteria; Bacillati; Bacillota; Clostridia; Eubacteriales; Oscillospiraceae. The record is from RNAcentral.